UGCUUAUGACAUUUCACAAACUACUUCAGAACAUUGUUCCUCCUUAGAAGAAACUUUGAUCCAUACAAAAUUCGGAGGAUUUAAAUCUAUCAUCACUAAGCAUGCAUCGGAAGUUUGUAAUGCAACAUUUCUGGAGUUUGAUACCUCUAUUCAAAACAACAUAAAUUUGAAACAAAGACCACAGAGACCAGUCCUUCAUAGCAAUACUACUAUUCGGAGGAUUUAAAUCUAUCAUCACUAAGCAUGCAUCGGAAGUUUGUAAUGCAACAUUUCUGGAGUUUGAUACCUCUAUUCAAAACAACAUAAAUUUGAAACAAAGACCACAGAGACCAGUCCUUCAUAGCAAUACUACUAUGGUGAGUUUUUCUAAUAAGAACGUAAAAGAUGAAUGUGCCUUUUUUAUCACAUUCACCAGCUGAUAUAUAUCACUGACGAAAAGUAAACAAGUUCAAUGUAAGUGACGAAAUAACUUAGACAAAC
Molecule: long non-coding RNA, 480 nt
Filed under: Fragaria vesca (wild strawberry)
Lineage: Eukaryota; Viridiplantae; Streptophyta; Magnoliopsida; Rosales; Rosaceae
Description: long non-coding RNA (FVES_LNC002004)
Source: RNAcentral